Long non-coding RNA from Seriola aureovittata, 5305 nucleotides. RefSeq lists it as uncharacterized. NCBI's taxonomy places the organism in Eukaryota, Metazoa, Chordata, Actinopteri, Carangiformes, Carangidae. The record is from RefSeq and is a predicted model, not a curated record. The transcript has 3 exons.
CAAUCAGGAAACGGGGGUGUGUGCGAGUGGGCGUGGCCAGAGUGUGUUGUUGCUGUGAAAAUGUCGAUGGACUGUGUAUUUUUCAUCAGGGCUGGGGACCACUCUGGAUUUAAUAAUAACCAGAGGGUUGAUGGGAGAUUAUGGCAGCGGUGACGGAGUUGUGAUAGUAAAUGGACCGGAGGUGUUGCGAAAGCGGCGGUGUCGGUAAGUCCCCCCACCCACCCAACCCGUCCAAAAAAACUAUUUAUUUACAUCCACUUUCUGCUUCGGUAAGUCAUAUACCAUCAUAUAUAUGGAUUUAGGCUACAGUGCGUCUGUGGUGGAAGGUAGGCUGUUUUAGUAACGUCCCUCAUUUGUUAUUUUUCUGUGUAAUAUUUCCAUAAUUGUAUCACUUCCAUGCUUUAUUUGCUUAAUGUUUCAUUUCUUUAAGACUGCUAAACGGUAUUUUCUCAUUUAAGGCCAAUGAAGAAUUACGCAUGACCGUGAUUUUAUAAUUACGGUGUAGUGCGCAGUUUCCAACGUUGCUUCCAACGUUACCCGGAAAUAAGCGAGGUAUUUGCUCUCAGCUGUUUCCUUAUAAAACAUGUCUGUGCGGAUUUGUGGCUCAUUUUUCGUCGGAGCCAGUGGCAGGGCAGAGGAGCAGGAUGGGAUGGAGAGGUGUGUUGGAUGCUUGCUGCGGGAGGAUGUUGCGCACUUCAUUUUUACCUCAGGAGUGAGGGGUCUGGUCAUCCAUGCGGUACUGCGUAAUGAUUUAAUGUAUGAGGUAGAUGUUUUUUCUGUUCAAUGUCAAUUGUGUUUGUUGUUAGGGUUAUGAUUGAAGACUUAAAUAUAUUUGAUUCAGCUCGGGAUAUCCCUGAUAUCACAGUUUCAGCUCGUGAUAACAAAAUUAUAAGCGGCAGAAUAACUUUGAUUAAGUUAAAAAGGAGGGGGAAGUACUUCAAAGUAGUGCACUGUUAAAAAAUAUUAUUCUUAAGGAAAACUAUAUGUUUCUGCUACUUUUUAAGGAAAUGUAUUUUACAGGAUACUGACUUUGAAUUUUGUCACAUGUGAGUGUCUGUGAAGAUUCUCAGUGUGUCAUGUCCCAUUCCAGCUGUACAGACUAUUUAAACAAAAACAUGUGUAAAGAAAUUUAGAAUUAGUUACUUAAUUCAGAAAUCUUUUGUUAUGUAAAGGCCUAAAGUUAAAAUUAUGUAAGAUUGUUUUUUCCCACUGUCAGUUUGCAGAAAUAUAUUACUUUCAAUGAGUUUAUCUUUUUUAAACAUAUUAUUGAUUCUUAUUAAAAGCUAAUUUUUACUGUUUGUAAACCUAAAGUGCGUGUGCCUACUGUGCCAGCGCCUUGACUCAGCUCCAUCCAUCCAGAGGUUUCUAUGUCAUACGCACUUUUUAUUCCUGAUGUAAACAAACCCUCCAAAAGCAAUACUCUUCUUUAACACAGGAUGGCGUAUUUGUGCAGGCUUAUUGCACAGCUUGUACUGAACAUGAAGUAACAGAAACAGUGUUCUUGGAAUGAAUCAGAUAUUUUAUUGGGAUUUAUUGAUGCAACACUACUGAGUGAGGGUACAACAGCAGCUUGCACAUCUUAAUGAGAGCCAGAAAAGGUUUUUUUUUCAUUCUUAACUAUUUUGUUGACAGAAGGACUGGCACAUCCAUCUGUUGUGCUUUAGAAAAAAAAAAAAAAUCAUCUCUAUAAACACCAAAACCGCAAACUGACUGCAAUUGAUCUGAUGACUGACAAGCACAGUAGGAGAAAAUGCUGCCAAUGUUGUGAUAGAAUGUGUCCUAAGCAAAUUAAUAUAUUAGAGAAUCUAACAAAACAACAAAGUGAAGCUUAGAAAUGUAAAUUGGUUGAUAUUUAUCUUUUCACAGAAGGAAAUUAUGUAUUGCCUUCAACAUUCUGUGGCAGGUAAGAGCCAGUACACUUCAUAGCAAACAACACAUAGAAACAAAUGCCACAACAGUGCAGCAUCCCGUUGUUUAUAUCAAUUAUUGUCAAAAAGUUGCUUAAUAACAGUUGGCCAGCUGCAUAUUGGCAGUAUUUAAUUGCAGGGUUUGGCCGGAGGUCAGCAGUCAUAUACAUACAUACAUACAUACAUACAUACUUGCAUAAAACCAAAAUGAUAGUUUGCAGUUGCUCAACAUCAAAGUGUCACAUUAUGUCUGUACAAAGGUCAUUGUCUGAUUUGUCCAGCACCGAUGCCAGAAACUGAAGAGCUGAGGGAAAAUAUUUCAGUUCACUGUGUAAGCAUGUUUGACAUGUCAUGAAAUAAUUCCUGGGAUGUUUUAGGACUCGGUGAGGGUAAAACUCUGCAAGACUUCUUUUUUUUUCUUUAUACAGUACAUGAUGAUGGAGCACAAGCUGACAAUGCCAGAGAGAACCUGUUUGCAUUCUUCGGAGUGGGAACUGCAAAGCAGCUCUGUUGCCCAAUUUACAUAAGAAAUGAAGAGUCAUCUGAUCAAGUGGCUGGAGAGUAACGCUCUAUCACCCUCACUAUUCUACCAAGCAACAGAGAGGAGAGGACGCAUCGAAGGUCCGUCUGUAUAUAGCUGCAGGUGAGCCUGUAUGUUUAAGACAUACAGUGACAGCGUUUUUUCGUGUCUGUUCUUGUUUGGCCCCUCACACAUCCGUGAAGCUUGGAUUGAGUAUCAGAUCAGUCGUGUAGGCGUGUUCGAGAGAGAGAGGUUGAGACAGAGAGAGAAAGAGAUAGAGAGAGAGCGAGAGAGAUAGAGAGAGAGAGAGGGGUGUGUGUUCUGGUGCUUUCUCAGUGGUUUUCCAUUUCAUCUCCGUCUCUCGCUCUCCCUUCACCUGCCUCCCUCCUCUCUGCUUUCCGUCCUGAACCGGAGCAGUGAAUCAAACUUCUUUAUGGGCACGAGCCUGAGAGUCUAAACCAUCCCAGACUGCGUUACAUUCGUGAUCUCCCAGUCUCAAAGAUGCUGCCAGGCUUCCCUGGACCCUCAUUUCAGUCUUGUCAAAAAAGAAGGGGGACACGGACAACAUCACUGAAAGCAUACUGUGCCUUUGACUAAUUCAGUAAUCAGCGUAAUGGAGACCAAUGAGGCAUUGUUAAAAAAAAAAAAAAAUUAAUUGUUCUAUUUGCAAAUGUUAAGGCCUCCUGAUGAACUGGGAUUUAAGACCACAAUGCAUCUAAUAGAUUCCCUCCUCUGUCCCUCUCACAGAUAUUAUUGAAGUCAACUUUUCCAACUGAAAGAGGGAACCAGUUUAACAGUCUGUUGUGAUUAAAUGUCAUGCAUAUUUGUGUCAUGUUAUUGUGGGUGUUUGAUUAAUGAAUAAUUCACAUCUGUGAACAGAGCAUGCAGUGGAAGUAUUCCUUCAGAUACAUAUUUCUCUUUGUGGAUGCCUCUGAGUACCAUUCCUAAACUUUUACUGUUUCAGGUGAUCAGAGGUAAAGUGUAGUAACCAGUUUAAUGUUGACCAGCACAGAAAAUGCUGCAUGUGCCCUCACUACGAGCAUCCCGAAUUGUUUAAAUGCCUGCUCCCAUCUUCCAUGACACAUUUUGCCUCCUUGAAAGUAUUAAUUCCAAACAUCAAAACAUUUGUAUGUGUUGCAGACUCCUAAAUCUGGGCUGUCCCUCAGGUUUAUAGCCAUAUCAGUAACUGCUUCACAUCCACAGUAUCUUUUCUGGGCUCUUUGUUAAUUACAGUAGGCUACAUGAGGAUAUCAAGCUCCAUGUGUAUCUGCUGCUGCAUCUCAGCCACUCUUUGGUUCUCUCAAAUCCUUUUGUUUCAGUUGCUCUAACUGAAAUGUUUCCUGAAUCCACCACAGGGAUUCCUGCUCAUACCACAUCCACUAUAAUGGAGAUUCAGAUUAUUAGAUAAUUUUACUAAUUACUGUUCACUAUUUUGUACUAAUAACUUAAUUUUCCAGUAUUCUACUAAUAAUUUUGUUUUCCACUAUUUUCUAACAAUAACUUUAUUUUCCAUUAUUUUCUAAUAACUUUAAUUUCCCAGUCUUCUAAUAAUUUAAUUUUCCAGUUUUCUACUCACUUAAUUUCACAGUUUUUUCUAUUUAUAACUUAAUUUUCCACUGUUUUCUACUAAUUAUAACUUUGUUUUCGACUGUUUUCUAGACUCAAGGCUGUGUCAUGCCACAUAAGGAACUCUUUGAAGGAACUCUCUUGUCAGGAGUGCCCCCCUUGGAAGCUGGUUUCAGAUGGUGGCUUAGAGUAUUGUCACCUAUCUAGCACCAUUUGAAAUCAGUGUUCUUGGGGUGGGAAGUGUGUUCCGCUGACCAGCAACAGGCAGCCGUGAAGUGGUAAGACGUAGAGAAUUGAAACAACUUCACCUGGGAAGUGCCACUCAGCGGGCUACAAAACCACCAGUCUACAGUGAUGUUUUGACAGCUCAAGCUCUAUGUCCUCUCUCCAAGGUUGACCGAUUUCUUUUGGUGUUCAGAGUCUGCUUUUGUUUCUAGCACCAUUUGAAAUCGGUUACAGUGAAGGACAGAUCUCGUCUUACCUUGAGGAGGAUUAAGCAUACGCAUGCUCGAACUAAGCUGUGGUCUGUAUGUUACUGGCUUUGCAUUGACUUGAGUGAAACCUUGUCACAUUACCAUUUUAAACGAAUAAAAAAAGUAACAGUACCACAAUGUAAAAAUACUCUAUACAUAAAGUAUUGCAUUUUAAAGUAACUAAAAAUACACAAAUGUUACUAGGAAAAUGUAUUGUUGUUAAAGACAGAGACAUUUCUUAUGUUUGCAUCUAUAAAGCAACACAACAGUAAAACUAAUGUAAUCAAAAGGUAAGUAAAAUAUUUGCAUCUGAGAUGUAGUGAUGUAAGCACAGAGUAGCAUAAAAUUAAAAUAGUUAAAUAACACUACUUUAAAAUUGUACACAGGUAACAUAAGUACUAUAUUUGAGUAAUUGUAGUUGUGACUUAUGACAUUCCACCACUUGAUGUCUGUCAACUUGAUCAAUUUCCCAGUACCACAUCCACAAGGGGGCACUGUCAUAUAAAAUAUCACAUCAGAGGGAUCCUUUUUUUGAUUGGUCUCUGUGCCCACAGUUGGUAUUUCAAUUGUGUUUACAGUAGCUAUACUGUUCCCAUUUUAAUCUUCAGUGUUAAAAGACAUUUUAUUUCUUAAAACAUGAUUAAAAUACUUGGGACAUCAGGGAAUAUCCGUUUAAAAACUAAUAAAUCAUGUCCAAAAGUUUAAUUUUAACAGGUAUAGGCUUUAAGGUGGACACAUUAUGGCUGUAAAGUAUGGAGAAGCUUCUUCACAUAUAUUCUGUACAUGAGAUGGCUCUUCUGUAAUAUGAAUAAAAUGAUCUAUGAUCUACAGAAACUAGA